RNAcentral lists this unclassified non-coding RNA (345 nucleotides) under soil metagenome. RNAcentral's name for it is "partial contains 5.8S ribosomal RNA, internal transcribed spacer 2, and large subunit ribosomal RNA". The stretch from base 1 to 120 matches the Rfam family "5.8S ribosomal RNA", at positions 35 to 154 of the family's 154-position model. The record is from RNAcentral.
GAUGAAGAACGCAGCGAAAUGCGAUACGUAAUGUGAAUUGCAGAAUUCAGUGAAUCAUCGAGUCUUUAAACGCACAUUGCGCCCCCUGGUAUUCCGGGGGGCAUGCCUGUCCGAGCGUCAUUGCUGCCCUCAAGCACGGCUUGUGUGUUGGGCCUCCGUCCUCCUCCCGGGGGACGGGCCCGAAAGGCAGCGGCGGCACCGCGUCCGGUCCUCGAGCGUAUGGGGCUUCGUCACCCGCUCUUGUAGGCCCGGCCGGCGCUUGCCGACACAUCAAUCUUUUUUCCAGGUUGACCUCGGAUCAGGUAGGGAUACCCGCUGAACUUAAGCAUAUCAAUAAGCGGAGGA